CUACGGGCCGCAGCAGUGGGGAAUCUUAGACAAUGGGCGCAAGCCUGAUCUAGCCAUGCCGCGUGAGUGAUGAAGGCCUUAGGGUCGUAAAGCUCUUUCGCUGGGGAAGAUAAUGACGGUACCCAGUAAAGAAACCCCGGCUAACUCCGUGCCAGCAGCCGCGGUAAUACGGAGGGGGUUAGCGUUGUUCGGAAUUACUGGGCGUAAAGCGCGCGUAGGCGGACUGUUAAGUCGGGGGUGAAAUCCCGGGGCUCAACCCCGGAACGGCCUUCGAUACUGGCAGUCUGGAGUUCGAGAGAGGUGAGUGGAAUUCCGGGUGUAGAGGUGAAAUUCGUAGAUAUUCGGAGGAACACCAGUGGCGAAGGCGGCUCACUGGCUCGAUACUGACGCUGAGGUGCGAAAGUGUGGGGAGCAAACAGGAUUAGAUACCCUAGUAGUC
RNAcentral lists this ribosomal RNA (439 nucleotides) under uncultured bacterium. RNAcentral's name for it is "partial 16S ribosomal RNA". It matches the Rfam family "Bacterial small subunit ribosomal RNA", at positions 339 to 795 of the family's 1533-position model. The record is from RNAcentral.